ACAUAAUACUAAAAUAACACUGGACCUAAUUGAAUUUCAUUAAAUAAUAAUAAUAAUAAUAAUAAUAAAGAAAAACACUGAUACAUUUCUCAAAAUAUAUUCUUUUGUUUGUAUUUCCCAAAACAAAGUCCUGCAGGUUUGCAACAAUAUAACUGAUGAUUUUGGCUGAACUGUCCCGUAUAUGUGCUGAUAUUGUUCGCUGCUGUACCUUUAAGAGCUGUGCUGUGAUUGACUGAGCUCUGUGUAACAGUCUAGUUCAUCAGCUGCUGAAUAACGAGUAGCUGUUAAUGUGUCAGUAUGUUAAUGAGCUCACGGCUGUGAUGCUUUAGUGCUUAUUUAAUGCUUUUUGCCGGUGAUCUGUGAACCUGAACAACACCAGCUUUUCAUUAGAUGCUGUUUAUCUCUUGUUUGUGUGAGCUGGGAUGGAGCUCCACUCACAAACAUCAACCUCUUCCCCAUCAGAAGAGAAGAGAAAGACACUUUUGUUGUGUGUUUGAUUGACAGCGGUCAGAGCCUUCAUCCCGCUCUCCUCCUCUUCCUCCUCAGGGAGCAGGAGCUGAAGGUGCAUCAGGCGCGCCGCAGUCUGGAAGAAGCUCUGAUGGCAGACGGUUUGGCGCGAGCCGCCGAGUCCAGACGAGACACGCAGGGCAGAGCGGCGUAAAGACACACAGGUUUGUAGUGCACUGGAGUCCAGCUCCGCCCUCGGUGGACGCCUGGAUAUGAUGUCAUCAGUCUGUGUCAGCGGCACACGUUCAAUAACCCAUUACCAAUAGCUUCAACCAAGGCCUUUUUCAACUAGAGCGUAUAUUUUGAUGUACAUAUCUAUAUAUAAUUGAGAACAAUGCUUAUUUUGUGUCAGACAGAAGACAGGCUUUUACACAGAGCAAUACUUCCUCACGUCAAAUCAGGUCACCGUCGCUGGGCUUGUAUCGCAAACUCUUUUUACUUUCAUUUGGUGUCAUUGCUCUCUUCAGGGUUUGUAACAAAUGAUUAAUACACCUGCAAACGUAUGAAUGAAAAAUGCUUAUUUAAGAAAAAAAUUUUAUACCUUGAGAUAAAAAUGUGUACAUUUGUUGCAUCAUUCUAGAGAAAAUAAAAGAUUAUAUUCACAAA
Cyprinus carpio (common carp) is the source of this 1113-nucleotide long non-coding RNA. RefSeq lists it as uncharacterized. The transcript has 2 exons. The record is from RefSeq and is a predicted model, not a curated record. NCBI's taxonomy places the organism in Eukaryota, Metazoa, Chordata, Actinopteri, Cypriniformes, Cyprinidae.